Molecule: ribosomal RNA, 301 nt
Filed under: uncultured bacterium
Lineage: Bacteria
Description: partial 16S ribosomal RNA
Rfam family: Bacterial small subunit ribosomal RNA
Source: RNAcentral
CAGUCGCCGCGGUAAUACAGAGGGUGCGAGCGUUAAUCGGAAUUACUGGGCGUAAAGCGCGCGUAGACGGUUUUGUAAGUCAGAUGUGAAAUCCCUGGGCUCAACCUGGGAACUGCAUUUGAGACUGCAUGGCUAGAGUAUCGAAGAGGGAAGUGGAAUUUCCAGUGUAGCGGUGAAAUGCGUAGAUAUUGGAAGGAACACCAGUGGCGAAAGCGACUUCCUGGUCGAAUACUGACGUUCAUGUGCGAAAGCGUGGGGAGCGAACAGGAUUAGAUACCCCCGUAGUCCCUGUCUCUUAUAC